GUCGAGCGCACCUUCGGGUGAGCGGCGGACGGGUUAGUAACGCGUGGGAACGUACCCUUUUCUACGGAAUAGCCUUUGGAAACGAAGAGUAAUACCGUAUACGCCCUUUGGGGGAAAGAUUUAUCGGAGAAGGAUCGGCCCGCGUUAGAUUAGAUAGUUGGUGGGGUAACGGCCUACCAAGUCUACGAUCUAUAGCUGGUUUUAGAGGAUGAUCAGCAACACUGGGACUGAGACACGGCCCAGACUCCUACGGGAGGCAGCAGUGGGGAAUCUUAGACAAUGGGCGCAAGCCUGAUCUAGCCAUGCCGCGUGAGUGAUGAAGGCCUUAGGGUCGUAAAGCUCUUUCGCCUGUGAUGAUAAUGACAGUAGCAGGUAAAGAAACCCCGGCUAACUCCGUGCCAGCAGCCGCGGUAAUACGGAGGGGGUUAGCGUUGUUCGGAAUUACUGGGCGUAAAGCGCACGUAGGCGGAUUGGAAAGUUGGGGGUGAAAUCCCGGGGCUCAACCCCGGAACUGCCUCCAAAACUAUCAGUCUAGAGUUCGAGAGAGGUGAGUGGAAUUCCAAGUGUAGAGGUGAAAUUCGUAGAUAUUUGGAGGAACACCAGUGGCGAAGGCGGCUCACUGGCUCGAUACUGACGCUGAGGUGCGAAAGUGUGGGGAGCAAACAGGAUUAGAUACCCUGGUAGUCCACACCGUAAACGAUGAAUGCCAGUCGUCGGGCAGUAUACUGUUCGGUGACACACCUAACGGA
This 749-nucleotide ribosomal RNA is filed under the name alpha proteobacterium SCGC AAA076-J05. RNAcentral describes it as "bacterial SSU rRNA". It matches the Rfam family "Bacterial small subunit ribosomal RNA", at positions 61 to 859 of the family's 1533-position model. The record is from RNAcentral. RNAcentral also lists the same sequence under 1 other name. Lineage: Bacteria; Pseudomonadati; Pseudomonadota; Alphaproteobacteria.